AAUAUAGAAACAAAUUUUAGCCGUUUUGAUACCAACCUAGCAGAGAUCGCCUCUGGUUCUGAAGUACAAAUGUCUUGUUUUCAAAAGUUCUGAAUUAAAAUCUUCCACCAAACCUUA
Octopus sinensis (East Asian common octopus) is the source of this 117-nucleotide long non-coding RNA. RefSeq lists it as uncharacterized. NCBI's taxonomy places the organism in Eukaryota, Metazoa, Mollusca, Cephalopoda, Octopoda, Octopodidae. The transcript is spliced from 4 exons. The record is from RefSeq and is a predicted model, not a curated record.